Long non-coding RNA from Siniperca chuatsi (mandarin fish), 2669 nucleotides. RefSeq lists it as uncharacterized. The transcript has 2 exons. The record is from RefSeq and is a predicted model, not a curated record. NCBI's taxonomy places the organism in Eukaryota, Metazoa, Chordata, Actinopteri, Centrarchiformes, Sinipercidae.
UCAUAAGACAACUAUGAAUUAAAACAUAAAUAUUGAGAUUAGAAGUUUAUUCUUGAUCUUGGAAACAACAGUUGACAAAACAACAACAGAAAUUUCACCACAAGGUCCAUUUAGUAGCUGUUCUGAAGCUUUUGACUGCACCACAUGAGCUUCCUCGUCAGAUACGGUUGUUGUUUUUCUAAAUCAAAAUUCAAAUUCAAGGAUGAACAUCUUGAGUACUGAGUGUCCUGCUGCCAUGUGCAACAUGUGACAGACACUUUCAGCGGCUUGGUAGGCAGGCGUAACAAAGGUAGACUGCCAUAAUAAUACUGUGCUACUAACAUAAUAUAUAAUAGCACAAUAUAAUACUAAUAAUAUUUCAUCAUAAAAUGCUUUUAGCCAUUCACAUUUCCUAAUGGCAAACCAGAGGAGUCCCUGAUGAAGUGUGAGCUUUGUUUUGCCGGAUGCUGCAGCUUCAGCAGCUCGGAGUUUAUUACCGACUCACCUUCAUCAGGUGGAGACAAACAGCACGUGGUCAUGUUGCUCCGUACCUGCUGCAUGUUUUAUAGCGUGUUACACACAAACUACUUCAUGAGGUGAUGUUGAGUUUACAGACUGAGCACACAGAUCAGUCAAUGCAGGUUUAAACCUCAGAGACAGGGUUUCUUCGGGACGCAGCAGGGGCUGUAAAAUAACUACAAAUGAACUGUUGAACUGAAUUCAUAAGAAAUAAAUGGCUCACUUCACUAUGCUAAUGUUAACUAAUGUUAGCUAACCUUCUUUAGAUGUUACUGAAUUAGUUUGUUGACUUUUUGUGACACUAUGUUUCAGCACAGAUGAACAUUUCAAUAAACUCGGUGUGUUUACUUCUUGUUUUUCUUUUGUGAUAAAACCACCGAAAUGUUCAUCUGAGACAUCUGUGUCGGUUAUAACAUCAGCACACUGCGUCAGUAACACAGCAAUAUCUAAAGUUAGCUAACAUUAGCCACCAGAAGCUAGUGGUCAUACCAGACCAAGCAAGCGUAUUGAAACAAGCAAAGGUGUUUUUUAUUGCCUAACUUUUCAACUUUUCACUUGUAAGAAGGAAAAUGUUGCUGCUGGCUUAACCCUUAAAUGGUUAAAGGUUUCAUGGUUUCAGAUCUUAAAUAUUUCUCUCUAAUAUUAAACAUUUCUACACGAACGACAAUCAAAGUUAAGGUUCAGAAAUAAACACUUCAAACCAGAGAGAAGAGCUCAGAGAAAAACAAGAAGUACUAAAACUGCUGUAAAAAACUGUGUUCAUGUAGAACAACAUCAUUAAGAAGCUGGUUGACCUUUAAACGGCAGCAAGGUACUGACAGAGCACGUUGGUUUAAAUAUGUCAUGACAGAACUGACCGCAGUAUGUUGCGUUAGACAGUAACAAACUGCACACUCUUCACUCUUUGUUGAUUGAGGGCAUCUGGAAUAAGUUAACUGAUAGUUUGAUAUUGAUCAGUUGGUCUAAAUCACAGGCGACAGAUGGAGGAGCUCUUCACUGAUGCUGCGUUCAGGGCGACACUUUAAUCUAAUAUAUCUAUUUACAUAUAUGGCUUAGAUAGCAGCAGACACUGCUGUAAGCUGCUGUAAACGCCCUGCUGAGGCGUUUACUGUCACGUACAGUUAUCACAGCAGCUGAAGCAUCUAUAACUGUAUUUUCCAUGAAAUCGCACUGACUGUAAUUCACACGUCUGCAGGCUGAAGGCAUCGAGCUCAACUCACAGCUGCUGUCAUGUGACAAACUGUGUCAAGCUGCUGAGUUUUGACAUCAGAUGAACUCACAGCUCAGAAAACCUAAAACCUGCCGAACAAACUGUCUGUGUAUCAACACCAGGUCUAUAUUAUGAUGUGAGUUUAAUAAAAUUGACAUUAAAAUGAAAACUUUAAACAAUGAACCAUAGUUCUUGUAUAUAUAUCUUGCAAUAUGAUAUACAGCUCCUAAUGAACUACAGAACAAUACAUUUCAAAAGUAUAUAAUACUUCAUUGAAAUUAUAUCAAACAAAUAUGAAAACAAACAAGAGCAGGUCAGUAAAACACUGCAGAAGAGAAGAGAAUCAGUCUGAUGAUGUUUAUAUUGUUUAUUUACAGCUGAACAUCAGAAGACUGAAGAGACAGUUUGAGCGUCCAGCAGAGGGCAGCACAGGGUUUCAGGAGGGGUAUGAUGGGGUAUUAGAUGGAAUCAGAAAGUAUAGGAGGGGUAUCAGAAGGGUGUAGUGGGGUAGAGGAGAGGUUUCAAAUAAAUGGGAGACUCUAUAAGGGUAUCUGAGAGAAAGGGGGUUUUCAGGAGGUAUUAGAGGGUACAGGAGGGGUUUCAGAAGGUAUUAGAGGGUACAGGAGGGGUUUCAGAAGGUAUUAGAGGGUACAGGAGGGGUUUCAGAAGGUAUUAGAAGGUACAGGAGGGGUUUCAGAAGGUAUUAGAGGGUACAGGAGGGGUUUCAGAAGGUAUUAGAGGGUACAGGAGGGGUUUCACAAGGUAUUAGAAGGUACAGGAGGGGUUUCAGAAGGUAUUAGAGGGUACAGGAGGGGUUUCAAAUAAAUGGGAGACUCUAUAAGGGUAUCUGAGAGAAAGGGGGUUUUCAGGAGGUAUUAGAGGGUACAGGAGGGGUUUCAGAAGGUAUUAGAAGGUACAGGAGGGGUUUCAGAAGGUAUUAGAGGGUACAGGAGGGGUUUCA